UGGGGAAUAUUGGACAAUGGGCGAAAGCCUGAUCCAGCCAUGCCGCGUGUGUGAAGAAGGUCUUCGGAUUGUAAAGCACUUUAAGUUGGGAGGAAGGGCAUUAACCUAAUACGUUAGUGUUUUGACGUUACCGACAGAAUAAGCACCGGCUAACUCUGUGUCAGCAGCCGCGGUAAUACAGAGGGUGCAAGCGUUAAUCGGAAUUACUGGGCGUAAAGCGCGCGUAGGUGGUUUGUUAAGUUGGAUGUGAAAUCCCCGGGCUCAACCUGGGAACUGCAUUCAAAACUGACUGACUAGAGUAUGGUAGAGGGUGGUGGAAUUUCCUGUGUAGCGGUGAAAGGCGUAGAUAUAGGAAGGAACACCAGUGGCGAAGGCGACCACCUGGACUAAUACUGACACUGAGGUGCGAAAGCGUGGGGAGCAAACA
This 427-nucleotide ribosomal RNA is filed under the name uncultured bacterium. Its description in RNAcentral is "partial 16S ribosomal RNA". It matches the Rfam family "Bacterial small subunit ribosomal RNA", at positions 355 to 774 of the family's 1533-position model. The record is from RNAcentral.